This 774-nucleotide ribosomal RNA is filed under the name Rhodococcus sp. 46AGIII. RNAcentral's name for it is "bacterial SSU rRNA". It matches the Rfam family "Bacterial small subunit ribosomal RNA", at positions 60 to 852 of the family's 1533-position model. The record is from RNAcentral. Lineage: Bacteria; Bacillati; Actinomycetota; Actinomycetes; Mycobacteriales; Nocardiaceae.
AGUCAGCGGUAGGCCUUUCGGGGUACACGAGCGGCGAACGGGUGAGUAACACGUGGGUGAUCUGCCCUGCACUUCGGGAUAAGCCUGGGAAACUGGGUCUAAUACCGGAUAUGACCUCCGAUUGCAUGAUCAGUGGUGGAAAGAUUUAUCGGUGCAGGAUGGGCCCGCGGCCUAUCAGCUUGUUGGUGGGGUAAUGGCCUACCAAGGCGACGACGGGUAGCCGACCUGAGAGGGUGACCGGCCACACUGGGACUGAGACACGGCCCAGACUCCUACGGGAGGCAGCAGUGGGGAAUAUUGCACAAUGGGCGAAAGCCUGAUGCAGCGACGCCGCGUGAGGGAUGACGGCCUUCGGGUUGUAAACCUCUUUCAGCAGGGACGAAGCGCAAGUGACGGUACCUGCAGAAGAAGCACCGGCUAACUACGUGCCAGCAGCCGCGGUAAUACGUAGGGUGCAAGCGUUGUCCGGAAUUACUGGGCGUAAAGAGUUCGUAGGCGGUUUGUCGCGUCGUUUGUGAAAACCAGCAGCUCAACUGCUGGCUUGCAGGCGAUACGGGCAGACUUGAGUACUGCAGGGGAGACUGGAAUUCCUGGUGUAGCGGUGAAAUGCGCAGAUAUCAGGAGGAACACCGGUGGCGAAGGCGGGUCUCUGGGCAGUAACUGACGCUGAGGAACGAAAGCGUGGGUAGCGAACAGGAUUAGAUACCCUGGUAGUCCACGCCGUAAACGGUGGGCGCUAGGUGUGGGUUCCUUCCACGGAAUCCGUGCCGUAGC